CAUCAGUGGCGAAGGCGGCUUUCUGGACUAUAACUGACACUGAGGCACGAAAGCGUGGGGAGCAAACAGGAUUAGAUACCCNUGGUAGUCCACGCCGUAAACGAUGGAUACUAGAUGCAGGAGGUAUUCACUCCUUCUGUGUCGCAGCUAACGCAAUAAGUAUCCCGCCUGGGGAGUGCGAUCGCAAGAUU
RNAcentral lists this ribosomal RNA (191 nucleotides) under uncultured bacterium. RNAcentral describes it as "partial 16S ribosomal RNA". It matches the Rfam family "Bacterial small subunit ribosomal RNA", at positions 707 to 895 of the family's 1533-position model. The record is from RNAcentral.